Long non-coding RNA from Pelodiscus sinensis (Chinese soft-shelled turtle), 1608 nucleotides. RefSeq lists it as uncharacterized. NCBI's taxonomy places the organism in Eukaryota, Metazoa, Chordata, Testudines, Trionychidae. The record is from RefSeq and is a predicted model, not a curated record.
UAAGACAGAUAUUACUGUGCCUUUCUCAAACUACUUGAUCCCACAGGGAAGUCAAGGCUGAAUUUUAUGACAUCACAAUGGUUUACAGAGCAACAGAGAAAGAAGUUGUAAAACAGGAUUAUGACUUCAGUGGAGGAUGCAACAGAAGGGGUAAGGUAGUGAGGGGGGGGGGGGGGAGAUCUUAAAAGCAGUGCUAGCCUUCCAUUACAAAAUUCAAAACCGCACCAGUGCUUUGCUAUAAACCCAGAAUUUGGUCCAGGCUCUUCCAAAAGUCCGUGGACAUGGGCUGAAUUUCAGAAAGCUCAAAUACUGGACUGUCCAGUUCAAAACCGGACACCUGGCAACCCUAGUAAUGGGGCUCCAUCAGAGCUCACAGCAACGGGCAGAUUUCAAACACAGACUCAGCCCACUGGUAAUAUUUUAUUCUCUGAUCCCCCAAAGACUAAAUUUUCCUCUGGAAGAAGUGUCCAACUUUCACGGAACUCAGCUGGAGACAAAUUCAUCCUAAAUAAAGGCACUGGGUUCAUGGUUGCUGGGAGAAUACAACAGGGAAAGUGGAACAGGAUCUGAGCGGAUGGUUACAUCUCUCUCAGGCUGAAUUCCACAAGGGAAACAGGAAUCUUCAGCAGUAAGACUGCCUGCUCCUGCCUCCAUGCCUGAAAAUCCUCAAGAGGGAAGGAACUACCACGAUAAUCUUCUGUUUGGUGCCUUGGUCCUAAGUCCUUUCUCCUGUCUUCAACCUACAUGACUGUUUGGGGGAUGAGAAAAGGUGGGAGUCCCAGUUAAUGUGCAACCAGAUGAACCUUUCCACUUCAUUCCAUGGAGGAAGUAAGGUGUAUCUCCAGCAGAAAAAGCUAUGACGCCCCCAUUCCCAAGCUUCACUGCCUGGAACUCCCUUUGGCUGCAGCAGUCAGAGGGGAUACUAUGCAGUGUGUUGAGUGGAGCACAGCUUGCACGUGCUUGUCUCCCCCUCAUCUGUCCCUCCUCCUGGGGAGGAGAAAUGCACAUAUCAAAGAGACCUUCUAUGAACUGAUCUGAGGGCGCACCCUAGAACAGAAUUUUCUGAAGAAGGAUCUUAGAUUCCUACCACGAACCUAACAAAGCUGCACAGAAAUCUCACACUGAAAGCACUGGCUUUCUAUACCUCAUGACUAAGGCUAAGAUUUAGUCAUGGGUAUUUUUAGUAGAAGUCAAGGAAAGUUCACAGGCAAUAAACAAAAAUUCCCAGCCUGUGACCUGGCUUGACUUUUAUAUUUAAAUAUUCCCAACUAAAACUUGUGGGGUCCCAAGACACCACUGCUCGGGGUGAGGGGGAGGGCAAGCAGGGGCUGAUGACUAUCCCUUACACUGGCAGUGGGGACUGACUAUCCCCAGUCAACCACUGCACUGAGGUCCCAGAGAUCACUGCUCUAAAGGCCUCCGGGGUGACCCUUGGAGCCGCUGCUGCUGGGGUGGCCCUGGGGUCAGAUGCACUGGCCACUGGAGCUGCUAAAUUCAGAGAGAUCAUGAUCCAUGACUCUGUGACAGAAUCACAGCCGUAACCAUGACUAAAUCAUAGAGCUGGAAGAGACUUCAGGAGGUCAUCAAGUCCAGCCCUCUGCCCAAGGC